UGGAGAGUCGUCCAAUGGUAGGACAGCUGACUCUGGAUCAGCCGAUGGGGGUUCAAGUCCUCCCUCUCCAGCCA
Molecule: transfer RNA, 74 nt
Filed under: Chrysiogenales bacterium
Lineage: Bacteria; Pseudomonadati; Chrysiogenota; Chrysiogenia; Chrysiogenales
Description: tRNA-Gln
Rfam family: tRNA
About the family: Transfer RNA (tRNA) molecules are approximately 80 nucleotides in length. Their secondary structure includes four short double-helical elements and three loops (D, anti-codon, and T loops).
Source: RNAcentral